AUUGAACGCUGGCGGAAUGCUUUACACAUGCAAGUCGAACGGCAGCACGGGGCAACCUGGUGGCGAGUGGCGAACGGGUGAGUAAUACAUCGGAACGUGCCCAAUCGUGGGGGAUAACGUAGCGAAAGUUACGCUAAUACCGCAUACGAUCUACGGAUGAAAGCGGGGGAUCGCAAGACCUCGCGCGAGUGGAGCGGCCGAUGUCAGAUUAGGUAGUUGGUGGGGUAAAGGCUCACCAAGCCAACGAUCUGUAGCUGGUCUGAGAGGACGACCAGCCACACUGGAACUGAGACACGGUCCAGACUCCUACGGGAGGCAGCAGUGGGGAAUUUUGGACAAUGGGCGCAAGCCUGAUCCAGCCAUUCCGCGUGCAGGAUGAAGGCCUUCGGUUGUAACUGCUUUGUACGUACGAAACGGCGAGCUCUAAUACAGUUGCUAAUGACGGUACCGUAAGAAUAAGCACCGGCUAACUACGUGCCAGCAGCCGCGGUAACG
Molecule: ribosomal RNA, 495 nt
Filed under: uncultured bacterium
Lineage: Bacteria
Description: bacterial SSU rRNA
Rfam family: Bacterial small subunit ribosomal RNA
Source: RNAcentral